GAAGAGAGAGUUCAAGAGUACGUGAAACCGUCUGGGAGUAAACGGGUGGUUCCCGAAAGUGCGAAAGGGGAGAUUCAGGUCUCGCCGCGCGCCGGGCCGCGCCCGCGAUGAAGGGAUGGCGUUUCCGCNGCCGUGGGGNGACCCUCGGUCCGGANNNNGCGCCACCCCGNGGGCNCGGUCUCUCCCNGCNCCGGACUGACNCACUUCUCCCCCGGUAGAACGUCUCGAUCCGUCGGUCGCNGACCUAAGGCCCCUGGUGGAGCCUGCGCGGUUCGCCGCGCACGACCCAGGGGAUCCCGGCCGNGUGNCCGACGGUACGAAGAGAGGAAGGAGUCNGCGCGCCUGCCUCACGC
This 353-nucleotide ribosomal RNA is filed under the name Misagria sp. JLW-2007. RNAcentral describes it as "partial 28S ribosomal RNA". The record is from RNAcentral. Lineage: Eukaryota; Metazoa; Arthropoda; Insecta; Odonata; Libellulidae.